This 711-nucleotide ribosomal RNA is filed under the name uncultured bacterium. RNAcentral's name for it is "bacterial SSU rRNA". It matches the Rfam family "Bacterial small subunit ribosomal RNA", at positions 106 to 833 of the family's 1533-position model. The record is from RNAcentral.
GUGAGUAACGCGUGAGGAACCUGCCUUCCAUAGGGGGACAACAGUUGGAAACGACUGCUAAUACCGCAUGACACAUUUGAAUCGCAUGGUUUGAAUGUCAGAGAUUUAUCGCUGGAAGAUGGCCUCGCGUCUGAUUAGCUAGUAGGCGGGGUAACGGCCCACCUAGGCGACGAUCAGUAGCCGGACUGAGAGGUUGACCGGCCACAUUGGGACUGAGAUACGGCCCAGACUCCUACGGGAGGCAGCAGUGGGGAAUAUUGGGCAAUGGGCGCAAGCCUGACCCAGCAACGCCGCGUGAAGGAAGAAGGCUUUCGGGUUGUAAACUUCUUUUAAGAGGGAAGAGCAGAAGACGGUACCUCUUGAAUAAGCCACGGCUAACUACGUGCCAGCAGCCGCGGUAAUACGUAGGUGGCAAGCGUUGUCCGGAUUUACCGGGUGUAAAGGGCGUGCAGCCGGGAAGACAAGUCAGAUGUGAAAUCCCGCGGCUCAACCGCGGAACUGCAUUUGAAACUGUUUUUCUUGAGUACCGGAGAGGUCAUCGGAAUUCCUUGUGUAGCGGUGAAAUGCGUAGAUAUAAGGAAGAACACCAGUGGCGAAGGCGGAUGACUGGACGGCAACUGACGGUGAGGCGCGAAAGCGUGGGGAGCAAACAGGAUUAAAUACCCUGGUAGUCCACGCUGUAAACGAUGGAUACUAGGUGUGCGGGGGCUG